GCAUGUUUGAAUGAGCAUGUAGGGUUCGGAGGCACCGGGAACCAAACUGAUGCCUGAUAGCAACAAGACCUAUGGCCUCUGUCUCUCUGCAGAUAACAGCUCUGGGAGAUGGAGUCCAUGAUCUGGUUGUAAAGCAGGGUGCCUAGCAACUCUCUUAAGAACACUGCAAUGGAAAUUAAUUAGAGAGACCACCAACCCUCAAACUUGUAAUUAAAUGGAAAUUAAUUACAGAGCACGGACUGCCUCUCAAGCAGGUUGCUACCCUAUUGGCUUUGCCCAUCUACUGGACAGUGCGUCGUAUGAAGGAAGGGCUAAGCUAGCUACACAAGCAAUCGAGAGUACGAGACAACAAGAAUGUUUGUUUGUUUACAUGCUAGUACUAAUCAUAUCAUAUCAUAUUAAAUCUUUAGUUUUUUGACCCACUACCAACAGUGAAUCGACGAUUCUCAGCCCAGAAAGCCUGCUACAGUACUACAGGACCUCACCCUUCAUGCACCGUCCGAUGUCCACGGGUUCAUCGAUCCAUCCGUCUACGCCUCAUAGCCGCAUCACCCCGAUCCCCUCCGUCAUCGCUCCUAACCAAUCAGCGCACCCAUCGUCCCAAAAUCCCCAAAUCUUCAUCGCCUCCUCGUGAGGUUCGUCGGCGCCGACACCGCCAUCUUGCGGAGCCUGUGGCCAGCGUCGCCGCUUUCUUGUCGAGCCAGUGAGGGAAAUCGCGGCGCCAUCUUCGCCGCCCUCGCCGGACCAGCGUCGCCACGGAGCUAGCCGGCGGCAUCUGCCAUCGGGCAAGCGCCGCAGCCGACCGCCGCCCUCGUCUCUUCGGCGAUCCAGCAGCUGCCGCCGCCUUUCGUCUGCUAGCUGCUAACGGUUGUCCAACUAGCUCGAUCCCUGUCCGUGCUGCUCCGUGUCCUCUUUCAUUCGUCAGUUUCAGGUAUAUAUCCAUAUCACUCCUUGCAUUGUUACUUUCAUUAAUCAUUUACUAGGCAGUGCCGAUUGUUUGGAUGAUAUGAUGCUUUGGGUUUAUUAUUGCUCUUAUUAUAUUUACCACUAUCUACAGUAAAAAAAAAGUGCUCUAUUUUAGUUUGGAGUAAAUUCCUUGUGUGCCCCUGAAAAGUUAUUCAAUCUCUUACAUGCCCCUGAAACUUACUCGAUUCCUUCUAUACCCUUGAAUUUUUGAUUGGAUCCCCUACAUACCCCUACCGUUAGAUUUAGCAGCAUUCCCUGGUUAGUUUGGUUGAAAAUGUCUAUAAUACCCUUGAGGUUGGAGGAGCUGAAAACUAAGAACAUGUUUGGCAGCUGGGUUUGAAACAUUCAUGACUGCACAGUAUGUAUUCCGUGAGACUAAAAAAAUAGUGCAUAAAAUUAAUUUCAUUUUCUUUUGUUAUAGCAUUCAGUAUUUUAUAAAAAAAUAUAACAUGACAUUGGAUCUUUCAUGACCACUAACCGACACAGCCUGGGGGUAAAAGACAGUACCCCUACCCGUUUACUCAAACACCAUUGCAAUUCAUCAGCAUAUCAAGAGCAUCGGUAGCACCAUUUAAUAGGAAGAAAAUGAAAAUACAUCUAAAAGCAUUCAUACACCAUCAGCAGUACACAAAUAUAUUACUUUUUACAUCAUGAGCAUAAUAGCACAAGCCCAUAACAGUUCAAGGCAUCUGCCUGCAUAAAGUCAAACAAAUUAAUGAAGAAACACUAGCAGCAGCAGCUAUUCGCAUUUUGCUAAUCAACGCAAGGGUGUAUCUUACCGACGGCGAGGAGCAGCGGAGCAAGGAGGUAAUAGGCCGGCGUCGGAGCCCCCGAGAAGAGGGUGAGGUGACAAGAGGGAGGGCGCGGAGGAGGCAGGGAGGAGACGGCGUCGCCAUGACCGCAAGCAGAGUCGAGGCCGCGGCGGGAUGCGGACUCGUCGCCGCGGCAGGAUGCAAAGCCGCCGCCGCCCACCAGAUGCGGACCCCGCCACGCCACCGAUGGGAUGCGGACCCAGCCGCCACCGCCGACCGCAAGCAGAGCCGAGACCGCGGCGGGAUGCAGAGCCGCUGCCGCCGCCGGGAUGUGGGAGAAGGGCGGCGAUGCGCGUGCAACGAUGGCUGAAAGCUGGCGAUGUGCGGCACCGUGCGUGUGGGAACUAUUUUGGAGGAUUUGGGGAUCGGAUGUGGCCCUGUGUUACCUAGGGUUGACAGGGGCAUUUUCGCAUUUUAUGAAAAUACUGACAAGCUAACACACACAUGAACACAAACAUCUGACGGAACCCAAACGGUAGGGGUACGUAGGGGAUCCAAUCGAAAAUUCAGGGGUAUAGAAGGAAUCGAGUAAGUUUCAGGGGCAUGUAAGGGAUUGGGUAACUUUUCAGGGGCACACAAGGAAUUUACUC
Molecule: long non-coding RNA, 2368 nt
Organism: Oryza sativa Japonica Group (Japanese rice)
Lineage: Eukaryota; Viridiplantae; Streptophyta; Magnoliopsida; Poales; Poaceae
Source: RefSeq, a predicted model, not a curated record